ACCUAUCUCCCAAAAACCUAAAAGCAGCCACAGAUAGUUUGGCGGGUAGGUGAACAAUUUGCCUACAGGUUUGGCACAUUCUUAAGCCAGGAAUCAGUUUCCAACAGCUGACAAAGAAGCUCAUUCUGCGUGCUGACUGAUGGCAGCAAAUUUACAGUAGCCAGCUACAAAGAAGAAAAGCGAGUAGUCAUUUACAGUAACUGGACGAGCCAGCUAUCUAGCUAUCUAGCUUAGCUAAUGACCGAGAAGCACUGAGCUAGCUACACACGGCGGAAUCACUGAAAGCGGUGCAGUGGCCGGAGGAGGCGAGGCCGUCGUCGAAGUUCUGGGAGUAGCUCUGCAGGUCGUACCCGAACUUCACUGCAGGCCGCCUCGGCCGCCCCGCGCUUCUCCUCCAUGUGGACCUCAGCCUCGACAGCAGCUGCUUCGCCGCCGCCGAGGCCACCGACGACCGCCCGCCGCUCCUGCCGUCGACCCUUCUCCGGCUGCCGCCGGUGUACAGGCCCAGCCGAGACGCCAUGAUCCUCUCUCGAUCGCUCGUAGUAGCGCUGUCACGACUGAAAUCUCACAGCUGAGCUAAUAAUAAUUAGGCACCAGGACGCUCUUGACUCCUGUCUCACAGGCGCGUGCAGCUUCUCAGAGACCUUUGCCUGGAUGAUCGAUGCCUGCCGUGCCGCUGCUUUUAUAGGCUGCGACCGGAUCGGAAUGAAUCGGAUAGGGUUCCUGCUGUCGAGGUCCCCGGCCGGGCCCACCGGCACGCACGCACUGAGUCACUAACGCACAGGGCCACGACGGCAUCCACCAGGAUGGAUUCUCGAUCGGCUGGGCAAAAGCCGAUUUCAGGCAUCUUUUACGGCGUCGCCUUCGGUCAGAAAAGAAAAGAAAGGUGACCACCAACAACCAACCUAUCGAGCUGAAUUCGGAUAUGCUGCCCAGCCCAGCCCAGUCAUCAACUCAUCAUGCGUAGGAUCGAUGAACAUGGGAGCAGAGAAGGUUCAGAGGUUCAUGAUUUCAUCUACCCCUACAAGGCUAAAACGAAUUUUGCAAAGCGCCGUCGUCAGAAAAGAGAAAGCAAGCGCACUAACGUCAAAGCAAAAAUCUCUAGCUGAGAGAGGAAGCUGCUAUUUGCGUGCAUGUGAUGGUGUAGUCAUCGCCUGAUCGGAUGAUGGGCAGAUCACGCGAAAAGGACGGUCGUUGGUGGUGGCGAUAUGGGGAUCGGGGUCCUACAAAUCAUCCGAUCCGAGUCAUCGUGGUCCAAGUAUGACUUGGCCGUUUUGGCUUUUGCCCCCAUCCGAUCUCGAGAUUUUGCUGAUGGCGCUCCCUUUUGCUUGUGUUUAGAUCGAUCAGUAGCUUUAACUUCGCUACUAAGAAAAAUUUGGAGUGAUUUGAUACAAACUAUUCCUUCUUCUUCUUUGGAAUCAGAAUCAAAAGUUCUCAUAGCAGGAUGCAGGAAUGUAAAAACGUUGAGAGAAUCUAGUAGCAAAAACACAAGUUACGGUACUGAGAAACAUGAGAAGAAUUGAAGUUUCUACACUUGCUGAUGCAAACGUACACUCACAGCUCGACGGUUGCACCGGGACCUAGGAUCGAUCACGUGAAAAACAUUCGGUUCGGUUCACGUACGUUUACCUCCCAAGAAAUCCACAAGCAGACGCAGAUACUUUGGCCGGCGGGGAAGAUGAACAACUUGCAUUGGCUGCAGGUGCGGCACAUGCGUAGUAACUAGUAGUAAGCCAGAAAUCAUAACAAAACCACAUGCAGACAGAAGCGACCAUUCCUUUCCAAGUUUGCAAACCCAGAAGCUGAACAACAAACAAAGCACCAACACAAUCACUUUGUGUUUUGCACACAUAAUUACAAAACCAUUCUGCGUGUUGACUGAUGGUGGAUUUACAUUAUCUAACUACUCCGUACAAAGAAGAGAAGCGAGUCAAUUACAGGAACUGCAUGCCGAACUGGAUGUGGCCGCUAUCUAAUCACCGGCCGGGAAUACAAUCACUGAGCGAGCUAGUUACACGGGAUCACUGAAAGCAUGUGGCAGGAGGAGCCGAGGCCAUCGUCGAAGUUUUGGGAGUAGCUGUGCAGGUCGUACCCGAACGACCUCACCGCGGCCCGCCUCGGCCGUGCCGUGCUUCUCUGCCUCCACGUGGACCGCAGCCUCGACAACAGCUGCUUCGCCGCCGCCGCCGCCGCCGACCGCCGGCAGUGGCCCCUCCUCCGGUUGCCGCCGGUGUACGCGCCCAGCUGAGACGCCAUCCUGUCCCGAUCGCUCACAGCUUAGAUGAGCCGCAGUAGCACGCUUGUGUGCCUCGUGUCUGAACUCUAUGCCUCUCUGACCCUGCAGCUGCGAACUUCUGAAUCACACCUUUGUCUCCGCUGGACGACGGCUGCCGUGCUGCGUAUUUUAUAAGCUCGAGUGCUCGACGGACCGAUUGGAUGGGAAUCCGAUGCAUUGGGCCGGUUCCUUCGUUACCAGAGAGCCGACGACGAGCCAACGUCGCCGGCCGGGCCCACUGACGCUCACGCACCGAGUCACUCACGUACGGGUACAGCCAGGGCGCCGGUGGCAUCCACUACGCGAGUCGGAUUCCCGAUCCGAAUGGUUUUCCAGGCAAAAAAAGCCGAUUCCGGGGGGCAUCUUUUUUGGGCGUCGCCCGCCAUCAGCCAGAAAAGAGGCUUGCUUGGCGACAGCCGGCAAAUGGCGACGGGGUGUGGGCGUGUGGCGUAACGGGAGGUCGGCUCCUCCGUGUCCUGCCCGAGGGAUCAUGUCCGAAACGAAAACCGACCGGCAGUUGGGCACGGCCUGUUCCAUCCAUGUGUGGAGCUGUAGGCAGGCCAACGAGGCCAUGCGCACGCAAGUAGCGUGCGCGAACGUGUGGAAUGUCACACAUGCACAAUGCGUUCGCCCGCAUGCAUAAAUAGCGCCGAUCGAUCAUGGCAUCUCAGGGUCCUCGUGAUCUGAUUUUUCCUUAAAAUUUGCUAGACUAAAUUAGAAUGCCCUUUACCACCCUAGGAAUGCGAUGCCACUGCUGCAGAUCGGCUGCACAAUUUGUUUUCCUUAAGUCAGCUGAUAGCUGAAAGCUUUAUAAUAAGAGAAUAGCUGCGUGCAUUUUUGCAGAGGCUGGAGAUACAUCUCUAUUUUCUAAAAGAAAAUCUAUGUUGUGCAUAAUACUUAUAUGUGCUUAGGAGGUGAAAACAUGGUCUUGUCCAGUCAUCAUUCGUUGAAUCGAGAUGGGAACAGACAACGUGUCAUCUACCGAAUACAACGGAUUUCUUCACCCCGCAAAUUAAAGUGUCACCAGUCUGAUCAAAUGAUUGAUAGCUGGGAGCGAGCCAGGAAGCUUCGAGUCAUCCGUUUGAUGCGACAUUUAUAUUGAAACCACAACAGUAGUAUCACAAACGGCACGUAUAUAAAGUUUUAAGAUGUCAUAACAUAAUCUUCAACACAUAUUCUACUAAAACAAGAACUAAUCAUGUCUAGGCUUUCUAGGUGGCCUAGGCAAGUAUGUAGCCCGAUUCUUGCUAGCUUGAAAUGUCUUCCUGAUUUCAUCUCCAUCAAUGCCUCUAAAAAUUUCCUUCUCAAUGUAGCACAAUAUCAAGCUACUAAGCCACUCAUCGUUCAUUCUAUUCCGUAGAUCUGUCUUGAUUAUAUUCAUAGCCGAAAAAGCUCUUUCAACAGAUGCUGUUGCUACUGGUAGAAGCAAUGCUAACUUAAUGUGCCGAAAGACCAAUGGAAAAGCAAUAUCUCUUUCAUGUUUAACCAUUUUUAUAGCCAAACUUCCAAAAUCAGGACAAUCUUUGAAUAAAUACUCUUUGCAUAUGUAUGACAAAGGUCUCAAGUUGAUCUCUUAUAUUAGAACGCUCAAUGUCAGUGAAAUCUUGAUCAUAUAUUUCAGUCAAUCGAGCAAUCUUUUCUAUAUCAAACUUAGCAAAAGAAUUUCUUGGAUCAAGACAAGCGAAGGAAACAAGCAACUCUGAUGAUACCUCAUUGAAGCGAUGGUCCAUCUCUGUCAUAAUAGCAUCAAGAGCAGCCAGGAAAGUAUCAACACAAUAAUGAUGUUCUUGAGUGAUUAAGUUACCAUCUAGCCUUGACCGACCCCAUCUAGGUAUUGUCUCAUCCAUGUUUGGCACUGGAAUCAUCUUAUCAUUGCAAAAUGAUAUGACUUCAUCAAGUAAUGGCUGCCAGCCUUCAUUUCUCAAAGUGACCAGCCGUGUUUCACAUCAAUAAGCAAUGACAAGGCCUGAACAAUAUUUUGAUCCUUCCGUUGCAGCAAGAGAGACAACUCAUUAGUAAUGCGAAGCACUUUCAACAUGAACUUCAUAUUCAAAACAAAAGAGAAGCUCUCCAUUUUGCGCACCAAACCACCUGCUCGACUAGUAUUACGCUCAUCCUCAUGAACCAUUGACAGCACCUUGACAACAGAAUUCCACAUUGACUCAAUACGAGCUAAUGUUGUUAAAUGAGAACCUCAUCUUGUACUUUGAUGCUUCCCCUUUCCUGAAAAGAUUUCACCACUUUCCAAUCUUUCCAAAAUUUCUUCUCGAUGCUUUGCGAUUAGCUUAUCUUUUCUUUUACAUGAUGAACUUGCACUAGUCACAAUUAAGCUCACAUAGUUGAAGAAAUCAUCAAAGGAUGAACAACUAGAUGUAACAGAAACAAUGACUAGUUGCAAUUGGUGGGCAAAGCAGUGAACAUAAAAAGCAUAUGGGUUCUCAUCACGAAUUAGUUUUUGCAAACCAUUGAAUUCACCUCUCGUAUUUGAUGCUCCAUCGUAUCCUUGUCCCCGUAGUCUACCAAUAGAUAAUCCAUAAUUGGCAAGCAUUUGAAGCAAAGACUUCUUUAGUGAUUUUGAUGUUGUGUCCUCAACAUGCUUCGGACCCAAAAACCUUUCCACAACCAUUCCUUAAUUGUUCACAAAUCUGCAAAAAAAAUGAUAAUACUAGUAUUAAUAAACAAGUAUAGCACAGAUGAAUAAUGAAUCUUUCUGAUUUACUCAUGUAACAAACUAACCUUACAAUAACAGCCAUUUGCUCUGCUAUUGAGACAUCACGAGAUUCAUCAAUGAGAACGGAAAAAAGAACGGUAAUGCUUCUUCUGCAUCAGCAACCACAGAUUGAACCUGCUCUUGAUCUUGAACCACACGGUCAACACCUUCAGAUUCCAAAGCAGCCACAUUUUGACUUUCCCUAGUACUUGGGCGGAGGAACCAGAACCAGAGCCAACACUCAAAUUCGAAAAGAAGCUCUUCAAAUCUACAGAAAUCACAUUGAGCACAUGAAUAAAUGCUAAGAGUUCCAAUUCAAUUGAGAGCAGAGGAUACUUGAUUUUACCCCUUGUUACCAUUUUCUUCUUGCCAAUUGGAAGACAGGGGCGAUUUGGGGCGCCUCGCCCUCGCCCAACGCCGACGCCGACCGGGACCAUGCUCUGCUGCUCAUCAUCAGGAGCUUCCGGUGCCGCCCCUCUUCCACGGCCGCGCAUUUUCCAUCUCCAUUUCUUUUGAGAAUCUAGCUAGUAUACGUCAUCUGUGCAUCCUCUGUUGAUAUAACGGCUAGAACCAUUUUCGCCUAUUAUAAUCGUAAGAGAAAAGUGAAUGCCUUACCGGUCUGUUAUUCAACAAUUCUUCUGAGCACGUCACGUCAGAUAAAAAGAAACGGAAACUAGAGUGUCCGAUGCUGUGUUGAAUGUUUGUACGAUCGAUAACGUAAAACACAUGCACAUCGGCCGUACUUUUCCUCUGUGCUGAAGAACCAGAGCACGGCCAGUACUGUGCGGCCAUCUUCUAAUUUCAGUGUUUAAUCUAGUGGCUUUGACAGCUUAUUAUUAACUGAUCUCCCAAAAAAAUCUACAAGAGGCGCAGAUAGUUUGGGAGAUGAGCAAACCACAAAUCAGAACAGAGAACAGAAGAUUUCAGGAUGAGAGGUUAGACAUAAUCUAUUCCAUUCCAAAGCUUUCAACAGCCGAACAAAGCAUAAUUUCUGCUGAUGGAUGGCAGGUAGGUUUAGUCUUGCACACACAUGCAGUAUAUACACAGAAGAAGCGAGUAGUGAUCCUGUACAAAGGCUGGACGAGCUAGCUUCCUAAUCGCCAUUGGAGAUCAGCUAAUAUUCUCCAGGUGAGUACUAGGCACAAUCAUUUACACACAUAACUAGAGAAGAAAGUGAAGGGAUAAUAGCAGCUCUAGCUACAACCGGCGGCGGUCGGAGGAGGCGAGGCCGUCGUCGAAGUUCUGAGAGUAGCUCUGCAGGUCGUACCCGAAGCUCACCGCGGCCCGACGCCUCGGCCGCGCGGCGCGUCUCCUCCUCCACGUGGACCUCAGCCUCGACAGCAGCUGCUUCACCGCCGCCGCCGACCGGCCGCCGCUCCUCCUCCGGCUGUUGCUGCCGCCGGUGUACAGGCCCAGCUGCAGAGACGCCAUCCUCUCCUAGCUCUCUCGAUCAGUCGAUCGCUAACACGAUCACAGUCGGAGCGUUAUGUUAUGAUCAGAACGCAGACUUGUCGCGCUCGCAAGUCGCAACUAGCUGCCCGCGGCCUCUCUGCUCGUAGCUACCUCUGCAAUGAAGCUUCUCAAGACCUUGUGCCAGAGAACGCACCCCAUGGUGCUGCUUUU
Molecule: long non-coding RNA, 6608 nt
Filed under: Setaria italica (foxtail millet)
Lineage: Eukaryota; Viridiplantae; Streptophyta; Magnoliopsida; Poales; Poaceae
Description: long non-coding RNA (SITA_LNC006687)
Source: RNAcentral